This 208-nucleotide ribosomal RNA is filed under the name uncultured bacterium. RNAcentral describes it as "partial 16S ribosomal RNA". It matches the Rfam family "Bacterial small subunit ribosomal RNA", at positions 568 to 775 of the family's 1533-position model. The record is from RNAcentral.
CGCGUAGGCGGCCCGUCAAGUCCCGUGUGAAAGCCCCCGGCUCAACCGGGGAAUGGCACGGGAAACUAGCAGGCUUGAGUUCGGGAGAGGGAAGCGGAAUUUCGGGUGUAGCGGUGAAAUGCGCAGAUAUCCGAAGGAACACCGGUGGCGAAGGCGGCUUCCUGGACCGACACUGACGCUGAGGCGCGAAAGCUAGGGGAGCAAACGG